GAGUUUGAUCGUGGCUCAGAUUGAACGCUGGCGGCAUGCUUUACACAUGCAAGUCGAACGGCAGCGCGGGCAACCUGGCGGCGAGUGGCGAACGGGUGAGUAAUAUAUCGGAACGUACCCAAGAGUGGGGGAUAACGUAGCGAAAGUUACGCUAAUACCGCAUACGAUCUAAGGAUGAAAGCAGGGGAUCUUCGGACCUUGUGCUCCUGGAGCGGCCGAUAUCUGAUUAGCUAGUUGGUGAGGUAAAGGCUCACCAAGGCCACGAUCAGUAGCUGGUCUGAGAGGACGACCAGCCGCACUGGAACUGAGACACGGUCCAGACUCCUACGGGAGGCAGCAGUGGGGAAUUUUGGACAAUGGGCGAAAGCCUGAUCCAGCAAUGCCGCGUGAGUGAAGAAGGCCUCGGUUGUAAG
This 413-nucleotide ribosomal RNA is filed under the name uncultured bacterium. RNAcentral describes it as "bacterial SSU rRNA". It matches the Rfam family "Bacterial small subunit ribosomal RNA", at positions 9 to 429 of the family's 1533-position model. The record is from RNAcentral.